AAAGUUCAAAGAACUUUGAAGAGAGAGUUUAAGAGGACGUGAAACUACUUAGAAGCAAGAAAAAGGAGCUGAAUGUGGCCAGUUGCAUUCAAAGAGGAAGCUUCAGGACUCAGCUUGGAUUUCCAUAACUGAUGUUCAAGGAGUUCCUAGUGCAAUUGCAGCUGAGCCUCACUGGUUGCUUUUGAUUCUGUUGGAGGGCUUCUUAGCUGAUGACCUGUUGAAUAUAGCUGGUUCCUCGCUAGGUUUCCCUCUUGUCAGUGCCAAUUGUGUGGCAAAUGGAGCAUCUGUUCAGCUUGGACUGUUGAUCAGGGUAUAAGUGGCUUCUGAGCUAUGCUUCUGAGUCAUGAAAUGCCUGGGUCUCCAUCUAAGUUUGACAUGAUCCAAACCAGUGCUUGUCAGUCAUCCUUUCAUCCCGUCUUGAAACACGGACCAAGGAGUCCAGCAUGUGUGCAAGCAACUCAGGAUUAAACCUGAAAUGCGCAAUGAAAGUGAUUACUUUGGGAUUUUCACUUGUUGAAACUCACCAUAGCCAUGUCUAUUUUGCAUUGCCAAUUAGGCAUAGGACUAGUGGACAUGCUGGGACCCGAAAGAUGGUGAACUAUGCAUGAGCAGGAUUAAGCCAGAGGAAACUCUGGUGGAAGUCCAUAGCGGUUCUGACGUGCAAAUCGAUUGUCAGACUUGUGUAUAGGGGCGAAAGACUAAUCGAACUAUCUAU
Molecule: ribosomal RNA, 715 nt
Filed under: unidentified
Description: Latronema dyngi partial large subunit ribosomal RNA
Rfam family: Eukaryotic large subunit ribosomal RNA
Source: RNAcentral